Rana temporaria (common frog) is the source of this 3112-nucleotide long non-coding RNA. RefSeq lists it as uncharacterized. The record is from RefSeq and is a predicted model, not a curated record. The transcript is spliced from 3 exons. NCBI's taxonomy places the organism in Eukaryota, Metazoa, Chordata, Amphibia, Anura, Ranidae.
UACAUUUAUUAAUAAAUGUUGCAUUAGGGUUCUGAACUUAAAGCUGACUAUGGACCCUUGCUGCACACACUGGCUGAAUUUGGAUGGUACCUUACAUGUGUCAUACCUACCCCAAUAAUUAAAUAUAACAGUGAAGGAAAUCUGACUACAAAACAAAUUAUAUUUCUUCAAAGAUCAGCUAUUCCACAUGCACAAUCAGCUGUUCAGUCACCUGAGAAAAAGCCGAUGAGACACACAGUAAAUGAAGAGAGGAAUAACAAAUCCAGCAGAAGCAUUGGACAGAGGACUCCAGGAAGCUUUGAAAUUGGGCAACCAUCAAAUGAAUUACAUCUUUCCCCUUCCAAGCAGUACUGGAAUACAGACAGCAAUCAGCAUUUUGGAAGUUUUUCUGGAUUCAGCAGCAAUGAUAGUAUGCUAAGAGAACUGGAUGAUGUACAGUAUGAACAAGAAGAAGCCGUGACCCAAGUCACCUGCAUGUAAAUACAUGCCUUUAAAUCCAAUUCUUUCUAUACCAUCUACUACCACAACAAAGGAUUGGUAUAUUUAAAGAAAUCACAUAUAAAACCAUUUCCCCAGAAGUCAGAAGAUCUUUUGUUAAUUCAGCUCUUUAACUUACCUUAGAUAUUGAUAUAGAAUUGCCUUAUGUCAUCCGAAGUUUGAAAAGAGGCUUGCUGGAGAGGCACCUGCAUUGUAAAGUUUAUGGGUUGGGGAGAGGAGCACCUAUUUAGUCUUACAGGAGUGUUUGUUAAGUCUAAUAUUUUAUUCACUGCCAGCCCCUCUAUUAGAGGCACCACACUAUGCAAGUCCUUUGUAAAAACGAGCAUUCUAAAUACCUCUUUAGAGCAGUCUUCAGGCCAGUGACAUGACUCGCAGCUGCUUUACAGCUCCAAUACAUUGCUUCUCCGGGAGGGGCAGUGAUCUCCCUCUGACAUCAGCUGGGGAGAUAAUGUGACCUCCCGCAGAAGCAAUGUAUCGAGUCAUGUGACCAGCCUGAAGACAGCUCUAAAGAGGUAUUUAGAACACUCGUUUUUACAAAGGACUUGCAUAGUGCAAGGUAUGCCAGCCUCUAAUAGAGGGGCUGGCAGUGACCAAUGUGGGUUUUUUAUUUUUAAUAGUAGCGGUGGGGCGGAGACAGACACAGAGAGGGCGCUGACAGGCAGGAAGGAGGGCGUGAGGGGGAGAGAGGAGAGCAGAGAGAACAGCUUUGUAUGACGGAGGGAUGUACUCUGACCACGGUGGCCAGGGCUGAGCAGUCCCAGGUUAUCAUGGUCAGUAUAGAGAGGGCAUACAGGAAGUGGCAGGUUCAGGGAGGUUUUUUUUUACGGUUUAGAGGGGGGCACAUUGCACAAGCAUAGUGUGUAAUCUGCUUUGAGGGACCAGAAUCUGAUUUUUUUUUGGGGGGGGGGGGGGUUAACAAACACUUUAAGAGCAUGCAUAAGGUUUUCUAGCUGCCAUGCAAAAAGGACACAGGGUUCUGGCACAUCCUAUAGAACUAUAGACCCAGAAGAGGUGUUUUUACCUUCCUCCUUUUGUAGAGCCGCAUAGUAAUUUGGGGAGGGUGGAUCACACAUCUAGAAGUGAAUAUAAAAAGUAGUGCUGAGCUGUUGAUAAAAUUAUAUGCAAAAGUAUAAAAUUUAUGCUUGUGCGUUUUUCUACUUUUGCAUAUAAUUUUAUCAACAGCUCAGCACUACUUUUUAUAUUCAUGCACACUCAGGUCUUGGUUUGACCUUUCAGUGUUUUGUAGCAGUUCAUUCAUACUUAACCCCUUCACAGCUGUCAUUCAGCUGUUCCACAGUAGCACAUGAAUAUUCAUUACAUUUACACAUCUAGAAGUAUUACAAACCUUGCAUAUGAAAAUAGCAAAUGCAUCUAAGAGGAUACAUCAUGCUUCCAAGUGCUGCAACCGAAAUACAGUACCUAUAUUUCUACUAUCUGCAUUUAUGGAAAUAGUAAAAGUGGGUUUUAUAGUAUAUAGGAUACACAUUUCACCAUUGUAUAUAUGAUCAUGGAGAAAUAUAGAGCAUUCUUCUGCACAUAUGCUCUAUGUACAUUACAGCCUAAACUUAAAGUGGCACAGAACACAAAUAGUGCAGUUUUAAAGGAACAUUUAGAAAUUUCAAUUGUGCCUAAACGGUACCCUAAACAAAGUACCUCUUGAAUUCCUCAUGAAAAAUAACAGUGCAUUUCCUGGUGAGGAUGCCUAGGCACUCCUGUACAUACAGCCUCAUAGCUCUAUAAAUGCAGUGUUAGAUCCAAGGCACUGCUGCAUCUGACAGGUAGUCUCAGGAGAUUCUGUGAUGUCACUACUGUGCUGUUCUCUAUUCUUCUUGCUGGAUGUUCUAAAAUGAGAAAGAAAAACUUGUGCCUUUAUCACAAAAUGGCCACCUCCACAUCGAAACACAGUACAUAACAAGGCUUUGUAAGUGCCUUUCCCAGUGCCUCUUUACUGCCAUGUCUCUUAUUUUACAAACCAUUUGGCAUACAAUUCCCAUAUUUUUAGAGUUUAUUUUUUUUAGGUGCUCAUAAUGUGUACAUAAUUUCAUAAACAAUAAGCAUGAAAGCAAUUUCAGACAUCUUAUAUCGAUGUACUUAAACAGGUGUCAAAAGCAGAUGCUUCUCUUUGACUAAGGCAACAUAAUUAACUGAAUUAUAUAUACUGUAUAAAUAUUUUAACUUGAUUCAACAUUUAAGCAAGUAUUUAUAAUGCUUCUGGAUGAAGCAAAAAGGAAUGAAGGACAAAAUAAGUAUUUUUAAUAAAAAAAGGCUCAGGACUUGGACUCAGACUGAACUAUCUGGAACUUUGGAUCAUGUAAUCAAGUUGCCAACAUGUAUAGACUGCUUGGCACGUGAGAUGCAGAAAAAGGUUGCUACCCAAUUAAGUGAAUGAAAGUUUGUUUGUUUAUUACACCUUUACUGACAUGUAAUGCAAAAAGGCAUCUCAUCACUGGUCACAUGUGGUGUGCAGAUCCCUGUGUUUACAGUUAAUGGGAAAAGUGACCAAUUUCACCUAUCUGAAACUGGAAGAGGAGUAUUGUGUGAAUGAGACUAGACAUUGGCAUACUGUACUACUAAUACUCAGUCUAAUUCAUAAAUAAAACAAUGGGUAGUAGCA